Molecule: ribosomal RNA, 254 nt
Filed under: uncultured bacterium
Lineage: Bacteria
Description: partial 16S ribosomal RNA
Rfam family: Bacterial small subunit ribosomal RNA
Source: RNAcentral
UACGUAGGGGGCGAGCGUUGUCCGAAGUUACUGGGCGCAAAGCGCGCGUAGGCGGUCAUUUAAGUUCGGGGUGAAAGGUUCAGCGCUCAACGCGAACAGUGCCUUGAAUACUGGGUGACUUGAGUUCGGGAGAGGGCAGUGGAAUUCCUGGUGUAGCGGUGAAAUGCGCAGAUAUCAGGAAGAACACCCGUGGCGAAGGCGGCUCUCUGGGACGGUACUGACGCUGAGACGCGAAAGCGUGGGGAGCGAACAGG